GAUGAACGCUGGCGGCGUGCCUAAUACAUGCAAGUCGAGCGAACGGACGAGAAGCUUGCUUCUCUGAUGCUAGCGGCGGACGGGUGAGUAACACGUGGAUAACCUACCUAUAAGACUGGGAUAACUUCGGGAAACCGUAGCUAAUACCGGAUAAUAUUUUGAACCGCAUGGUUCAAAAGUGAGAGACGGUCUUGCUGUCACUUAUAGAUGGAUCCGCGCUGCAUUAGCUAGUUGGUAAGGUAACGGCUUACCAAGGCAACGAUGCAUAGCCGACCUGAGAGGGUGAUGGGCCACACUGGAAGUGAGACAGGGUCCAGACACCGACGGGAGGAAGCAGUAGGGAAUCUUCCGCAAGGGGCGAAAGCCUGACGGAGCACCGCCGCGUGAGUGAUGAAGGUCUUCGGAUCGUAAAACUCUGUUAUUAGGGAAGAACAUAUGUGUAAGUAACUGUGCACAUCUUGACGGUACCUAAUCAGAAAGCCACGGCUAACUCCGUG
Molecule: ribosomal RNA, 497 nt
Filed under: uncultured bacterium
Lineage: Bacteria
Description: partial 16S ribosomal RNA
Rfam family: Bacterial small subunit ribosomal RNA
Source: RNAcentral